This 149-nucleotide long non-coding RNA is filed under the name Ornithorhynchus anatinus (platypus). Its description in RNAcentral is "lncRNA (ENSOANG00000041999.1)". Lineage: Eukaryota; Metazoa; Chordata; Mammalia; Monotremata; Ornithorhynchidae. The record is from RNAcentral.
CCUCCUGCUUAGGUCUAGCUGUGUUCCUGUGCUUCCUGAGGCCCUUUCUGAAAGAUCUGAAUGGAAGCCAGAGAAGUCAGGAAACUCACAAUUGCGUCUCCCGUGUGGGCCAGAAGCAGCACACCGGCCCCCCAGUCAACAGCUAUGGU